Molecule: ribosomal RNA, 450 nt
Filed under: uncultured bacterium
Lineage: Bacteria
Description: bacterial SSU rRNA
Rfam family: Bacterial small subunit ribosomal RNA
Source: RNAcentral
CCAGACUCCUACGGGAGGCAGCAGUGGGGAAUAUUGGGCAAUGGGCGCAAGCCUGACCCAGCAACGCCGCGUGAAGGAAGAAGGCUUUCGGGUUGUAAACUUCUUUUGUCAGGGACGAAGCAAGUGACGGUACCUGACGAAUAAGCCACGACUAACUACGUGCCAGCAGCCGCGGUAAUACGUAGGUGGCAAGCGUUAUCCGGAUUUACUGGGUGUAAAGGGCGUGUAGGCGGGACUGCAAGUCAGAUGUGAAAACCACGGGCUCAGCCUGUGGCCUGCAUUUGAAACUGUAGUUCUUGAGUACUGGAGAGGCAGACGGAAUUCCUAGUGUAGCGGUGAAAUGCGUAGAUAUUAGGAGGAACACCAGUGGCGAAGGCGGUCUGCUGGACAGCAACUGACGCUGAGGCGCGAAAGCGUGGGGAGCAAACAGGAUUAGAUACCCCUGUAUCG